GUGGCAGUAGCUCAAUGGUAGAGCUACGGGUUGUGGUCCCGUCGGCUGUGGGUUCGAGUCCCAUCUGCCACCCCA
Molecule: transfer RNA, 75 nt
Filed under: Candidatus Jacksonbacteria bacterium RIFOXYA2_FULL_43_12
Lineage: Bacteria; Candidatus Jacksoniibacteriota
Also listed under: 2 other names
Description: tRNA-His
Rfam family: tRNA
About the family: Transfer RNA (tRNA) molecules are approximately 80 nucleotides in length. Their secondary structure includes four short double-helical elements and three loops (D, anti-codon, and T loops). Further hydrogen bonds mediate the characteristic L-shaped molecular structure. tRNAs have two regions of fundamental functional importance: the anti-codon, which is responsible for specific mRNA codon recognition, and the 3' end, to which the tRNAs corresponding amino acid is attached (by aminoacyl-tRNA synthetases). tRNAs cope with the degeneracy of the genetic code in two manners: having more than one tRNA (with a specific anti-codon) for a particular amino acid; and 'wobble' base-pairing, i.e. permitting non-standard base-pairing at the 3rd anti-codon position.
Source: RNAcentral